GCGGUUGAAUAAUAACAGCCUUACAGGACCGUGUCCUCAGUCUUUAAGCAACAUAGAAGGUUUAACACUUGUAGACCUCUCCUACAAUAAUCUGAGAGGUUCCUUGCCAAGAAUACCAGCAAAAACAUUAAAGAUUGUCGGAAAUCCAUUAAUUUGUGGUCCGAAAUCCAACAACUGUUCUACUUUACCAAAGCCAGUUUCCUUCCCUCUAGAUGC
This is a long non-coding RNA of Arachis duranensis, 216 nucleotides long. RefSeq lists it as uncharacterized. The record is from RefSeq and is a predicted model, not a curated record. The transcript is spliced from 3 exons. Lineage: Eukaryota; Viridiplantae; Streptophyta; Magnoliopsida; Fabales; Fabaceae.